This 85-nucleotide non-coding RNA is filed under the name Bacillus sp. (in: firmicutes). RNAcentral's name for it is "Bacillus sp. c-di-GMP sequence". It matches the Rfam family "c-di-GMP-I riboswitch aptamer". From Rfam's summary of the family: GEMM was predicted in a large-scale screen for bacterial structured RNA regulatory elements. Genes associated with GEMM are involved in a diverse array of functions, including chemotaxis regulation, signal transduction, secretion and chitin. The record is from RNAcentral. Lineage: Bacteria; Bacillati; Bacillota; Bacilli; Caryophanales; Bacillaceae. RNAcentral also lists the same sequence under 1 other name.
UCACGAUAAUGGCAAACCUGUCGUAAGGCAGCGACGCAAAACUAUAGAGCCUGAGGGCGAAAGCUCACGGUAGCCAGUUACCGAA